RNAcentral lists this long non-coding RNA (907 nucleotides) under Gadus morhua (Atlantic cod). RNAcentral's name for it is "lncRNA (ENSGMOG00000036925.1)". The record is from RNAcentral. Lineage: Eukaryota; Metazoa; Chordata; Actinopteri; Gadiformes; Gadidae.
CUGAAAAUAGCCGAAAAGGUGAGCACCGUAUCAGGGAUCAGUAGAAACGUUGAAAACGUCAAGAAAAUAAUUACCACACUGACAAGUGACGUUAAGAAAAAAGCAAUGUUCAUUUGUAAAGACCGGAGAAUUACCGGUGGUGGCAACUCUUCUGCUACCCCCCUGACACCGGCGGAGGACCGGAUUGUGGGACUCCUCAGCAAGGCUGACUACGAGGGUAAGGCCAGUUUAUAGACCUCCGUAAAGUGCUGUUGGUAGACACGGAGAGCCUGUCGGAGAUCCUUUUUUUUUUUUUCGGAAUCACUUCUCCCGUUUGACUCAUGGUUUGUAGUCAACAUAUAAGAUUGAUCGGACGGCGAAUUGCAUUGCGUAUCCGACAUCCCGACGGAGAACUUCGAAGAGUGAAGCUUAGGUCUAUCUUAUAAUGUUUGACGUUCUCGUUCUCCCUGCUAGUGAUUAUUUUUCUUGACUUUAUAUUAUAGCUGCUAUGAUAUGAUAUAUGAAAAGAAAGACUGUCAAUGCAGGCAUCGAUGGAGGCUUUGAGACUGGGUUGCCAGUGGACUUCUUGGAGACCACAACUUCAGUCAGUGAAGUUGUUGACGUCGAUGCUACACAACCGCCUCCUGAAAAGAAAACACGUCCGCUGAAGUCAUCACCAGAAACCCUUGCUCUGCUAGAAAUUGAGAGGGAGAAGCUUCAAUUAUACAGAGAGAGAGUCGCCAUUGAAAGAGAGCGACUCCUCCUUGUGAGGGAAAAAUUUGAAUGGGAGAAGAGUAGGGCCAGAGUGUGCAAAACAUGUUUAACUGAAAUAUAAAUGAAUGAAUUGUAAUCUUGACCAAUUGUAAUCUUGACCAUUGUGUUGCUUCUAUUUUUAAUUUAGGUUAAAAAAAAUCUAAUAUAAGUCGAU